RNAcentral lists this ribosomal RNA (1234 nucleotides) under metagenome. Its description in RNAcentral is "bacterial LSU rRNA". It matches the Rfam family "Bacterial large subunit ribosomal RNA", at positions 1564 to 2808 of the family's 2925-position model. The record is from RNAcentral.
UGAGUACGAGAUGCUACGGCAUCGAAGCAGUCUAUGUCAUACUUCCAAGAAAAGCUUGCACUGUCAGAAACAGAUAAUGCCUGUACCAUAACCGACACAGGUGGGUAGGUAGAGUAUACUAAGGGGCGCGAGAUAACUCUCUCUAAGGAACUCGGCAAAAUGACUCCGUAACUUCGGGAGAAGGAGUGCCUUAUUUUUAAGGUUGCAAUAACAAGAUCCAAGCAACUGUUUACCAAAAACACAGGUCUCCGCUAAGUCGUAAGACGAUGUAUGGGGGCUGACGCCUGCCCAGUGCCAGAAGGUUAAAGAAGUCGGUUAGCAUUCGCGAAGCUGGUAACUGAAGCCCUGGUGAACGGCGGCCGUAACUAUAACGGUCCUAAGGUAGCGAAAUUCCUUGUCGGGUAAGUUCCGACCCGCACGAAAGGCGUAAUGAUUUGGAUACUGUCUCGGAGAGGGGCUCGGUGAAAUAGACUUGUCUGUGAAGAUGCGGACUACCCGCACCUGGACAGAAAGACCCUAUGAAGCUUUACUGUAACUUGAAAUUGAAAUUGGACUUUAUUUGCGCAGUAUAGGUGGGAGGCGUUGAGAAUAUUCUUGCGGGAAUAUUGGAGCCAUCAGUGAGAUACCACUCUUGUAAUGUUAGAUUUCUAACUUUAUAUCAUUAUCUGGUUAAAGAACAGUUUCAGGCGGGCAGUUUGACUGGGGCGGUCGCCUCCCAAAUGGUAACGGAGGCGCACAAAGGUUUCCUCUGAACGGGUAGAAAUCGUAUCUAGAGUGUAAAGGCAUAAGGAAGCUUGACUGUGAGACCUACAAGUCGAGCAGGGACGAAAGUCGGUCUUAGUGAUCUGACGGUGCUGAGUGGAAAGGCCGUCACUCAACGGAUAAAAGUUACUCUAGGAUAACAGGCUGAUCUCCCCCAAGAGUUCACAUCGACGGGGAGGUUUGGCACCUCGAUGUCGGCUCAUCGCAUCCUGGGGCGGUAGUACGUCCCAAGGGUUGGGCUGUUCGCCCAUGAAAGCGGUACGCGAGCUGGGUUCAGAACGUCGUGAGACAGUUCGGUCCAUAUCCGGUGUAGGCGUUAGAAUAUUGAGAGGAGCCUUCUUUAGUACGAGAGGACCGAGAAGGACAUACCUCUGGUGUACCAGUUAUCGUGCCAACGGUAAACGCUGGGUAGCUAUGUAUGGAGUGGAUAACCGCAGAAAGCAUCUAAGUGGGAAGCCCACCUCAAGAUAAG